CCUACGGGCGGCUGCAGUGAGGAAUAUUGGUCAAUGGGCGCGAGCCUGAACCAGCCAAGUCGCGUGAGGGAAGACGGUCCUAUGGAUUGUAAACCUCUUUUGUCGGGGAGCAAAAGACGCCACGCGUGGCGUUCCGAGAGUACCCUAAGAACAAGCAUCGGCUAACUCCGUGCCAGCAGCCGCGGUAAUACGGAGGAUUCGAGCGUUAUCCGGAUUUAUUGGGUUUAAAGGGUGCGCAGGCGGAAGAUCAAGUCAGCGGUAAAAUUGAGAGGCUCAACCUCUUCGAGCCGUUGAAACUGGUGUUCUUGAGUGAGCGAGAAGUAUGCGGAAUGCGUGGUGUAGCGGUGAAAUGCAUAGAUAUCACGCAGAACUCCGAUUGCGAAGGCAGCAUACCGGAGCUCAACUGACGCUCAUGCACGAAAGUGUGGGUAUCGAACAGGAUUAGAUACCCCUGUAGUC
RNAcentral lists this ribosomal RNA (459 nucleotides) under uncultured bacterium. Its description in RNAcentral is "partial 16S ribosomal RNA". It matches the Rfam family "Bacterial small subunit ribosomal RNA", at positions 338 to 795 of the family's 1533-position model. The record is from RNAcentral.